Podarcis lilfordi (Lilford's wall lizard) is the source of this 2408-nucleotide non-coding RNA. NCBI's taxonomy places the organism in Eukaryota, Metazoa, Chordata, Lepidosauria, Squamata, Lacertidae. The record is from the annotation of a GenBank genome assembly.
GGGAGUGGUUUUUUUGUCCGACCAGCUGAAAUGUUUGCACCAUUGGAAUGAUUGCCAUAGCACUAUGCUGAAUACCUCCCAUCGUAAUUAAUGGCCAUGACAAACUUAAUUUCAAUGGGUCUACUCUGCAUAGGGCUUGGUUAGAUACAACACAUAGUUAAUACCAUUUGCAUGAUUCAGGGGAUAGGAUUGGCCUUCCCCAUGACUAAGCCGGGUUCUCGUGUCUUGAGCUAAAGCUUGCCAGGCAGAAAUUCAACAUUUCCACACCAACCAACCUCCACAGAGAACUGCACACCUGUUGAAUGUCUGCCUGUCAUGUCUCUGUUACAGGUACAAAAGCCCUGCCCUGUGACUCAAAAUAAUCCUUGUUUUGGAGCCAAACUUUUUCCAUGGAGGGAGAUAUUUUCUUGCAACAUGAUCUUGAGUUGCUCAACUUUUUUGAGUGGAAGACGCUCCCUGCUGAGAGAAGGAACACUGGCCUUGGGCUGAUCGCCACUCUUGUUGGGUUGAAAACCAGGGAGAACGAGGAACGCUGCCUUGAGGGUUUUUUUUUUAACUGGAGAGGGGGACGAGGGCAGGAUAUAAACGCAAUAAAUCAGCAACCACCCUUCAUCCUUAUUGUUGUACUAGACAGGCGCCCUGCCUUCCGUGCGGGAUCCUCAUCAAUAUAGGACCCCUUCGCUCUGAAUUUAUAUGUACUCAACACGUGCCUACAAGUUCCCUGUCACACGCAGCGCAAACAAGGCUUGCUUAACAGAACAAAAAAUAGGUUUCGCGGUGGGAUGGGAACCAUACAGCAGCCCCACCCCGUUACCCUCUGCGCGACAAAAUGGCGGCUGGCUUCCCUGGGAAACUGAGCAGCCACGGCAGCCGGCAGAGCGACAGAAACACGGACACCGUGAGGGAGAGAUAUGGUUGCAUAAUUCGCGAGACCCACAAAACCAGGCAGUUUUGACGCCAUUUUGUUUGUUUCCCCACCCGCGCUAGCCGAGUAAAGGGGGAAGCUGCCCAUGGAGAAACGCAGCGCUUUGGUAUAAACGCAGCUGCUGGGCAGCAACUUGUGCCCCCCCCCGAAAAGGAAGAUCUAAGCUGCGAAUAUUUCGCGUUAGCUUGUCGGCAUUUGAGAAAUAUAUAUGCAGCAAAUGCCUAUUAGCUUCCGCAUUGCAGACGGGGAGGGAAGAGGGGAGUCACCGAGAACUGCUCUGGCUGCGUCUUUAUCCCUGCAUUGCAGAAGUGGGGCCGUAGAAGCAGCGGCUUCCUUAUGCGGCUUAAGAGGCGGCACGGAGUGACUCCGCAGUAUAUGGAUAGGACAUGGGAUCGUCGGCGGGUUGCUUAACAGUCUGGAAAUGCAGUUGACACAAUGGUAAGUCCGGCUCCCGAUUUCGGGCUCGCAAGCUGCCGCCUCGCCCAGUAGGAGCGGCGCCUGCGUCUCGGCGAUAAUGCGGCAGCGCGCAAGGUGCUGCUCUCCAGCAACGGACUCUCUUCCGCGCAAUGAUUAACUAGCGCUUUAAAAUACUGCCGCUUCGACUUUGUACCUCUCAUCCCUUUCUAGCGAGAAUUGUUCUGUAUCUCCAGCUAAAAAAAAUCUUACAAGACUGCAAGAAAUCUAUACCGGACUUGAAUUGGCCUUCCAUGAUCAGCUCCCCCACCACCACCCAGCACUCAGUUGGGCAUGUUUAUCAUGCAGGCCACGCACUAUUAAGGUCAAUUGGAAAGCAUGCAUUGACCCAGCCUCGUGGGCCUGGCAGACGGCAGCAGGAAACAUCCUCCUAGCUUCUCUCUGAAUGGCACAAAACAAAGUGUGCAGGGCCCAUUAGCGUCAGCCUAAUUUUGAGAUGGCCUACUACGCCCCCCCACCCCAUAUAGGAAAAGAGAAACCCUUUGGUAAAGGUUCUUGAAAUGGGGCCUACCAUCUAAUCCAGGCCUAUGUAGUUUGCAUAGCCCAGCUUCUGAAUUUGCAGUCUCAAAAUGACUCAAGUAAAUUCUAUUUUUAAUAUAUAAUUUAUAUUUAAUCUUCUAAUUUACAUUUAAACAACUUUAUCUUGUGUAUUUUUCUCUUGUGAAUUGCCUUGAUAGCCCGAAGAGCAAUUGUUCUGCACAACUGGAAGGGCUAAUUUAUUCUCAUGGAUGUGAAUCCUCCCCAACUGCUUAAGUAUGUUAAGCUACUGGUGGAUUUCCAGAUGCUAGACCCAUUAGGUAAAGGGGCCUAAUAGCUGGACACGAAAAGCUGUUCAAAGGGUCAUUAGGCACAGUGAUUAAAAUGUUUUUUGUCUCGAUUUCACCAUGUUUUGUGUAGUGAUUAAAAUCUGGUCUAGUAUUUUAGAACAAACAAUUCCAUGAAAAUGCAGUAUUUUCCUCUAACCCUCCUGGACUGUUAAGGAACUCAAAAUCAUUUAAAUGCUGCAGAC